CCUCGUCAAAAACCUCGUCAAGUCACAAAAACCCUGUGGGAGAAAAACUGAACCUUGAUCGUAGGAGAAAAAAAGUACAACGCACCCUUCACAUUUGAUAGUGACAUGUAUGUAUGUGCUAGACUCCCCCUGAAGUUCGCACCUCCCCCUGAUCUUUACAUCAAUCAUAGGGCUCUUCCUGAUUCUCACUAAUCACGGAAGUUUCAACAACUUAGCAUGUCAAUGCUCUUUAACAUGUCUUCAAAUGUGGCAUUGGGCAAUGAUUAACUAAAUCAUGCCGUAUUGUCCUCAAAUGAUCUUUUACACUUAGAUCUUGAGAAGAAGGUCGCUUGUGAACUCAAAACAUAAGUUCGUGCAAGAAAUCAGAUUUCCGCGCAGCAUGACUUUCAAUUACUAGAAUAGUCGUAACUUCCUCUAGGAAAUACAUAUGAACGAACCGUAAACGGUUUUGGAAACUAGACUCAUUUAGCUUUCCAACCGUAUAUUACAAACAUUCUGGUUCAUCAGGAGCUAUUCACAAAAUCCAGUCGAAGUUGACUGUUUUGCCAAAAUCAGAUUCUCGGACAGAUUCGUCCUACUUUACGAAAACGGCCAUAACUCACUCAAUAUGAUAGGUAUGAUCAAAUGGUUGGUGCCCCUGGAAAGUAGACACAUAGACCUUUCCAAUGGUACCAAUUUUACCAUUUUCCAGUGAGUGAGAUUUCCUAUAGGUCCCGUGGAAGUUGACCUACAAAACUUGGCAGAUUCUGAUUUCGCUUUUGAUGUGUCUUCUUAUGUAGGGAUAGAAUAAGCCUCAACCUUUCAUACUAUUAAGUAUUGAAAAAAGGAGUUACUGCCAUUACAUUGGCGUUGCGUGGGCGCAUAGCUACAUUUAGCUUUACAACUUUUCAUAGCGAAUGAGAUGUCAAGUCUUUCGUAUUGUGUUGAGUACAUUGAUGCGUCUUAUUGUACUUAGAUGGGAACUCCAUCUCUU
Molecule: long non-coding RNA, 973 nt
Filed under: Fragaria vesca (wild strawberry)
Lineage: Eukaryota; Viridiplantae; Streptophyta; Magnoliopsida; Rosales; Rosaceae
Description: long non-coding RNA (FVES_LNC004343)
Source: RNAcentral